CAGUCGAAGAUCCCAGCACGG
RNAcentral lists this small nuclear RNA (21 nucleotides) under Arabidopsis thaliana (thale cress). Its description in RNAcentral is "snRNA_08272". Lineage: Eukaryota; Viridiplantae; Streptophyta; Magnoliopsida; Brassicales; Brassicaceae. The record is from RNAcentral.